UACGUAGGGGGCAAGCGUUGUCCGGAAUCAUUGGGCGUAAAGCGCGUGUAGGCGGUCCGGUAAGUCGGCUGUGAAAGUCCAAGGCUCAACCUUGGGAUGCCGGUCGAUACUGCCGGACUAGAGUUCGGAAGAGGCGAGUGGAAUUCCCGGUGUAGCGGUGAAAUGCGCAGAUAUCGGGAGGAACACCUAUGGCGAAGGCAGCUCGCUGGGACGUUACUGACGCUGAGACGCGAAAGCGUGGGGAGCAAACAGG
This 253-nucleotide ribosomal RNA is filed under the name uncultured bacterium. RNAcentral's name for it is "partial 16S ribosomal RNA". It matches the Rfam family "Bacterial small subunit ribosomal RNA", at positions 524 to 776 of the family's 1533-position model. The record is from RNAcentral.